Molecule: ribosomal RNA, 424 nt
Filed under: uncultured bacterium
Lineage: Bacteria
Description: partial 16S ribosomal RNA
Rfam family: Bacterial small subunit ribosomal RNA
Source: RNAcentral
AAUAUUUGACAAUGGGGGGAACCCUGAUCCAGCCAUGCCGCGUGUGUGAAGAAGGUCUNCGGAUUNUNAAGCACUUUAAGUUGGGNGGAAGAGUUGUAGGCUAAUACCUUGCAAUUUUGACGUUACCAACAGAAUAAGCACCGGCUACCUUCGUGCCAGCCGCCGUGGUAAUACCAAGGGUGCAAUCGUUAAUCGUAAUUACUGGGCGUAAAGCCAGCGUAGGUGGGUCGUUAAGUUUGAAGUGAAAGCCCCGGGCUUAACCUGGGAAUUGCUUUCAAAACUGACGAGCUAGAGUACGGUAGAGGGUAGUGGAAUUUCCUGUGUAGCGGUGAAAUGCGUAGAUAUAGGAAGGAACAUCAGUGGCGAAGGCGACUACCUGGACUGAUACUGACACUGAGGUGCGAAAGCGUGGGGAGCAAACAGG